GAUGAACGCUGGCGGCGUGCCUAAUACAUGCAAGUCGAACGAAGAGCCGAGGAACUUUCUCCUCUUACGUUAGCGUCGCAAAGGUGAGUGAAACGUGGAUUCCCUCCCUCUAUGACUGGGAUACCUUCGUGAAAACGGAGCUCAUACACGAUAAUAUAUUUAACCGCGUGGUUCAGUAGUGAUAGAAGGUGUUGCUUUCACUUAUAGAUGGAUCCGCGCCGCAUUAGCUAGUUGGUAAGGUAACGGCCUACCAAGGCAACGAUGCGGAGCCCACCCGAGAGGGUGAACGGCCACACUGGAACUGAGACACGGUCCAGACCCCUACGGGAGGGAGCAGUAGGGAAUCUUUCGCAAUGGGAGGAAGCCCGACGGAGGAAACCCGGGGGGGUGAAGAAGGGCUUCGGAGCUGAAAAGCUUGUUAUAAGGGAAGAAAAGAUGUUUAUGUAAAUAGGCACAUCUUUACGGUACCUAAGCAGAAAGCGCCGGGUAACUACGCG
Molecule: ribosomal RNA, 497 nt
Filed under: uncultured bacterium
Lineage: Bacteria
Description: partial 16S ribosomal RNA
Rfam family: Bacterial small subunit ribosomal RNA
Source: RNAcentral